UAUACAGCAGAAACAUAUUAUCUAUGUCACGAGGGUGUAAAGUGCCACGUCUGACUCCGUUAUACCCGGGGUCAGGAAGUCGCAGCGGGUGGCUGCGCGCUCUAUGUCUAAAGAUCGCGCUGUUACUUAAUGGUAGCUUUCUGGGUUUGCCUUGCAACCCUUUUUG
Long non-coding RNA from Bufo bufo (common toad), 166 nucleotides. RefSeq lists it as uncharacterized. The record is from RefSeq and is a predicted model, not a curated record. The transcript is spliced from 3 exons. Lineage: Eukaryota; Metazoa; Chordata; Amphibia; Anura; Bufonidae.